This 866-nucleotide ribosomal RNA is filed under the name Proteocephalus longicollis. RNAcentral describes it as "eukaryotic LSU rRNA". It matches the Rfam family "Eukaryotic large subunit ribosomal RNA", at positions 165 to 626 of the family's 3401-position model. The record is from RNAcentral. Lineage: Eukaryota; Metazoa; Platyhelminthes; Cestoda; Proteocephalidea; Proteocephalidae.
CCAGCAUUGAGUAUGGUUUACUGGAUUUGGCCCAGAGAGGGUGAAAGGCCCGUAGGGGUGGAGUAUCAGAAAUGUAAGGCAGUUCACCAGGUCGACCUUAGAGUCGGGUUGUUUGGGAAUGCAGCCCAAAGCGGGUGGUAAACUCCAUCCAAGGCUAAAUACAAGCACGAGUCCGAUAGCGAACAAGUACCGUGAGGGAAAGUUGAAAAGUACUCUGAAGAGAGAGUAAACAGUACGUGAAACCGCAUGCAGGUAAACGGGUGGCGUCAAGCUGCAGGCCCAGAGGAUUCAGUCGACUAGGUUGUAGUGUAUGUGCCUGGCGCAUCCAUCAGUCAGAGUGUGAUUGAGUAGUCCAUGGGUAAACCGUGGGCCUGGCCGCAAGGUCAGGAUGUGUGUACCGGAUGGGUGCCGGAGCAUGCUACUCGUCUGUGGACUGUCUAGUCGGUGCACUUUCUCUGUGGUCAACACCACGACCGGUGGUAUUGCCAGUCUGCUGUGCUCAAGUUGUGCUUGGUUGGUCCUUGUGGCUAGCUGGGUGCGAUCACAGGCAAACUCAGUGAACGGCGCGGGGGUGCUUCGGUAUCUUCGCGUGUUAUCGGCCACUGGUUGUCAACAGGCCUGCCCGGUGUUUGUUGUAACCGGCAUUGGGUGGUCUGGUGGAGCAUGGUGGUAAGAAUAACUGUGCAAGGCACCGGAGUUGUCGGCCUCAAAUGCGUCCCGCACACACGUUACAAGUGGUGAUUAGUGGCGGUGUCGUGGCCAUCUGCCUGGUGUUGGGUGUGAUUGGCGUGUUGCCCGCGAAAAGCGGGCCCGCCAGUGGCUCGAUUCAGGAUGGGUGGUUUGCGGCGCUGUCGGUGUGGGACGUG